GCAGCCACUCAGGCUUAGAAACACCAUGGGAAGAAAGAAGAAAGAGUAUAAGCACUAGAGGACCAUGCUGCUGGGAGAGAGCAUCUUCUAGACACUGCACAGAGGAUGCACCCAUGAAAUACUAACAAAACAGUUGCCUAAAUAAGAGGGAAAAAUAUGUACAAAAGAUGCAUUUGUCCAGGGUUACUGAGCAGAUCUAAAUGUUCCUUUUCUUGACAUCUUAUUAAUUCAUCCUUCUGGGGAGUCUUUCAGAGAAGAAAACGCACACUAAGAAAAAAAAUCCGCCAACUCUAAUAGACUAAACUCUCCUCAAGUUUGGCUCAAGGCUGAAUACCAGACCUUUCAAGUAUUUGCCAGUUGGCAAGAGUUUUAAUGACGGGCUUCCAGGAUCAAAGCAAACCCUUUAACUUUACUUAACAAUAAACUCCUUGGUGACCACUGACAUGUAAAAUACUUCCAUGGAGGAAACAGAAAUCUGAAAUUAGUUGACUAUUACCAAGUGUGCUAAGUGCGUGCUUCACUUUCCCUUAUAAACAAGCCAUCCAUUGAAGGAAAGAAGAACUUUUGCAAGCAUUUAUUCAUGGAUUCCUUGGCAAACAGCAUUUUCUGUUCUUUCCAUAAGGAAAUAUUACGAAGAAUUAGCAGUAAGAAGAGCUACUUUUCAGAUGAAGCAAGCCCCAGUAAAUAUAUUUACUUGCAAAAGCCAUGGCUGCCUUUUGGUUCCAAAAACAAAUGACUUUGAACAUGAGCAGAAGGCAUAACAAUAGAAAGUACAAAAUCCAUUGUCUAGUUCCCACUUUCCCUGCCCACUAGGGUGUUAUGGCAGAGGUCUAACUACCCAGUCUUCUUUGA
Molecule: long non-coding RNA, 852 nt
Organism: Meriones unguiculatus (Mongolian gerbil)
Lineage: Eukaryota; Metazoa; Chordata; Mammalia; Rodentia; Muridae
Exons: 3
Source: RefSeq, a predicted model, not a curated record